This 87-nucleotide transfer RNA is filed under the name Planctomycetota bacterium. Its description in RNAcentral is "Planctomycetes bacterium tRNA-Ser". It matches the Rfam family "tRNA". From Rfam's summary of the family: Transfer RNA (tRNA) molecules are approximately 80 nucleotides in length. Their secondary structure includes four short double-helical elements and three loops (D, anti-codon, and T loops). Further hydrogen bonds mediate the characteristic L-shaped molecular structure. tRNAs have two regions of fundamental functional importance: the anti-codon, which is responsible for specific mRNA codon recognition, and the 3' end, to which the tRNAs corresponding amino acid is attached (by aminoacyl-tRNA synthetases). tRNAs cope with the degeneracy of the genetic code in two manners: having more than one tRNA (with a specific anti-codon) for a particular amino acid; and 'wobble' base-pairing, i.e. permitting non-standard base-pairing at the 3rd anti-codon position. The record is from RNAcentral. Lineage: Bacteria; Pseudomonadati; Planctomycetota.
GGAUGGGUGGCCGAGUGGUUGAAGGCGCUGGUCUUGAAAACCAGUUUACGGGAAACCGUAACGAGGGUUCGAAUCCCUCCCCAUCCG